CUCUCACCACCUCAGGCCACUUCCUGGAGUCCCGAGCACAAGGAUCCUGCACAAACACACCCAGCUCUGCGUAUUCCUUCCAGGAGAGGGCAGGGGAAUACAGCUUAUUGCAGAUCUGCUCCUGAACCACAGCCAGCAUUACUCAUGGCCCAGAUCUUCCUGUAUGUCCUCCAGUCUAUUUUGGUUAUUUGAACGCAGUAGAGCCCCCUCAGAAAUGGGAAGUCGUCUGUAACA
RNAcentral lists this long non-coding RNA (234 nucleotides) under Gallus gallus (chicken). RNAcentral's name for it is "long non-coding RNA NONGGAT002183". Lineage: Eukaryota; Metazoa; Chordata; Aves; Galliformes; Phasianidae. The record is from RNAcentral.